AUUGCUUCUCGGCCUUUUGGCUAAGAUCAAGUGUAGGACAUUAUUUUUUGUCUCUUCUGCAUUAUAAUGAAUUUAGCCAUUGGCUACAAACUUUGGAAAGUGCUGGGAAGAGUUCUAGUCCCAUGUAUAUAUUUCCCCCA
Molecule: small nuclear RNA, 140 nt
Filed under: Anolis carolinensis (green anole)
Lineage: Eukaryota; Metazoa; Chordata; Lepidosauria; Squamata; Anolidae
Description: U2 spliceosomal RNA
Rfam family: U2 spliceosomal RNA
About the family: U2 is a small nuclear RNA (snRNA) component of the spliceosome (involved in pre-mRNA splicing). Complementary binding between U2 snRNA (in an area lying towards the 5' end but 3' to hairpin I) and the branchpoint sequence (BPS) of the intron results the bulging out of an unpaired adenosine, on the BPS, which initiates a nucleophilic attack at the intronic 5' splice site, thus starting the first of two transesterification reactions that mediate splicing.
Source: Rfam by way of RNAcentral